Molecule: ribosomal RNA, 428 nt
Filed under: uncultured soil bacterium
Lineage: Bacteria
Description: bacterial SSU rRNA
Rfam family: Bacterial small subunit ribosomal RNA
Source: RNAcentral
GAACCUUACCUACCCUUGACAUCCUGCGAAGGAGACUGAGAGGUUUCCGUGCCGCAAGGAGCGCAGAGACAGGUGCUGCAUGGCUGUCGUCAGCUCGUGUUGUGAGAUGUUGGGUUAAGUCCCGUAACGAGCGCAACCCUUGUCCUUAGUUGCCAGCAAGUCAUGUUGGGGACUCUAAGGAGACUGCCGGUGAGGAACCGGAGGAAGGCGGGGACGACGUCAAGCCAUCAUGGCCUUUAUGGGUAGGGCUACACACGUGCUACAAUGGGGCGUACAGAGGGUUGCCAACCCGCAAGGGGGAGCCAAUCUCAAAAAGCGUCUCGUAGUCCGGAUUGGAGUCUGCAACUCGACUCCAUGAAGUCGGAAUCGCUAGUAAUCGCGAAUCAGCCAUGUCGCGGUGAAUACGUUCCCGGGCCUUGUCACACCGA